UGGGGAAUAUUGGACAAUGGGGGGAACCCUGAUCCAGCCAUGCCGCGUGUGUUAAGAAGGCCUUAUGGUUGUAAAGCACUUUAAGCGAGGAGUAGGGUACUGGUAUUAAUACUACCAGGUACUGGACGUUACUCGCAGAAUAAGCACCGGCUAACUCUUUGCCAGCAGCCGCGGUAAUACAGAGGGUUCAAGCGUUAAUCGGAAUUACUGGUCGUAAAGCGCGCGUAGGUGGUUCGUUAAGUUGAAUGUGAAAGCCCCGGGCUAAACCUGGGAACUGCAUCCAAAAAUGGCGAGCUAGAGUAGGGCAGAGGGUGGUGGAAUUUCCUGUGUAGCGGUGAAAUGCGUAGAUAUAGGAAGGAACACCAGUGGCGAAGGCGACCACCUGGGCUCAUACUGACACUGAGGUGCGAAAGCGUGGGGAGCAAACAGG
This 430-nucleotide ribosomal RNA is filed under the name Pseudomonadota bacterium. RNAcentral describes it as "Proteobacteria bacterium partial 16S ribosomal RNA". It matches the Rfam family "Bacterial small subunit ribosomal RNA", at positions 355 to 776 of the family's 1533-position model. The record is from RNAcentral. Lineage: Bacteria; Pseudomonadati; Pseudomonadota.